UUUCUCCAAUAUUCAGCAGGACAUGCAGUGAAGACAUCCGACCGAUAGGUGGCGGAAGCUGCCGUCCUGGUUCCUCUUCCCCGCGAGGUUAACCUCUGACCCCGCGGGUUUUCCACGUGGGUCCCGUGAAGCAGAAGCAGGAAAAACGUGCAGAGAAUGGAGCAGCGACCUGCAAUGAAGAAAGUCAAGGAGAAAACGAAGAGAAAGACGAAGGACGUGGAGGAAGAAGAGCGAGAAGAACUUUUUAAUUUAAACAACAAAUCUGCUGAGAAAGCUGAAGAGAAGAAGACGAUGACCUGUCAGACAGUGAGGACAGUGAAUACUCCGGACUGGAGGAUUCUGGGAGCGACUCUGAGGAUGAAGAGGAAGUGUCAGGUGAUGUGGAGGAAGAUGAUGGAUCCGAUGAAGAUGACGAUAAACAGAACCAGCAGAUAA
This 435-nucleotide long non-coding RNA is filed under the name Oryzias javanicus (javanese ricefish). RNAcentral's name for it is "lncRNA (ENSOJAG00000014560.1)". Lineage: Eukaryota; Metazoa; Chordata; Actinopteri; Beloniformes; Adrianichthyidae. The record is from RNAcentral.